This 253-nucleotide ribosomal RNA is filed under the name uncultured bacterium. Its description in RNAcentral is "partial 16S ribosomal RNA". It matches the Rfam family "Bacterial small subunit ribosomal RNA", at positions 524 to 776 of the family's 1533-position model. The record is from RNAcentral.
UACGUAGGGUGCAAGCGUUGUCCGGAAUUAUUGGGCGUAAAGAGCUCGUAGGCGGUUUGUCGCGUCUGCUGUGAAAACUCGGGGCUUAACCCCGGACUUGCAGUGGGUACGGGCAGACUAGAGUGUGGUAGGGGAGACUGGAAUUCCUGGUGUAGCGGUGAAAUGCGUAGAUAUCUGGAGGAACACCGGUGGCGAAGGCGGCAUCCUGGACCGACACUGACACUGAGGAGCGAAAGCCAGGGGAGCAAACGGG